This 766-nucleotide ribosomal RNA is filed under the name Klebsiella pneumoniae. RNAcentral's name for it is "partial 23S ribosomal RNA". It matches the Rfam family "Bacterial large subunit ribosomal RNA", at positions 419 to 1188 of the family's 2925-position model. The record is from RNAcentral. RNAcentral also lists the same sequence under 3 other names. Lineage: Bacteria; Pseudomonadati; Pseudomonadota; Gammaproteobacteria; Enterobacterales; Enterobacteriaceae.
GGGACACGUGGUAUCCUGUCUGAAUAUGGGGGGACCAUCCUCCAAGGCUAAAUACUCCUGACUGACCGAUAGUGAACCAGUACCGUGAGGGAAAGGCGAAAAGAACCCCGGCGAGGGGAGUGAAAAAGAACCUGAAACCGUGUACGUACAAGCAGUGGGAGCACCUUCGGGUGUGACUGCGUACCUUUUGUAUAAUGGGUCAGCGACUUAUAUUCUGUAGCAAGGUUAACCGUAUAGGGGAGCCGCAGGGAAACCGAGUCUUAACUGGGCGUUAAGUUGCAGGGUAUAGACCCGAAACCCGGUGAUCUAGCCAUGGGCAGGUUGAAGGUUGGGUAACACUAACUGGAGGACCGAACCGACUAAUGUUGAAAAAUUAGCGGAUGACUUGUGGCUGGGGGUGAAAGGCCAAUCAAACCGGGAGAUAGCUGGUUCUCCCCGAAAGCUAUUUAGGUAGCGCCUCGUGAACUCAUCUUCGGGGGUAGAGCACUGUUUCGGCUAGGGGGUCAUCCCGACUUACCAACCCGAUGCAAACUACGAAUACCGAAGAAUGUUAUCACGGGAGACACACGGCGGGUGCUAACGUCCGUCGUGAAGAGGGAAACAACCCAGACCGCCAGCUAAGGUCCCAAAGUCAUGGUUAAGUGGGAAACGAUGUGGGAAGGCACAGACAGCCAGGAUGUUGGCUUAGAAGCAGCCAUCAUUUAAAGAAAGCGUAAUAGCUCACUGGUCGAGUCGGCCUGCGCGGAAGAUGUAACGGGGCUAAACC